Long non-coding RNA from Onychostoma macrolepis, 782 nucleotides. RefSeq lists it as uncharacterized. The record is from RefSeq and is a predicted model, not a curated record. Lineage: Eukaryota; Metazoa; Chordata; Actinopteri; Cypriniformes; Cyprinidae. The transcript is spliced from 3 exons.
CGAUUACUCAGUGCACCUGUGGAAACAGACAUAUUUGAUCAGAAAUCCUUCAGUCAUGAAGACACAUGCUGUUCUCUGGAUGUGAUUAAAAAGGAAAAAGCUGGAUUAAGACAGGAGAUAAAUAUGAGUGUGUUGGUCAAGGGCUUUUCUUGCUGCAGUGCUUCAGAUUGCUUGUCAGCUACAGCAAAUCCAUGCUGAUCCAUAAUUCACGGAUGUCCGGUUGAGUCCCAGCAUGAUGGAAUAGCAGCUCCGAGACACACGUGAAUGGAAAAGAAAAAGAUGCCGUGCUGGCGGGGGCCCGCUUUACAAGCAGCUGACUCGGAUUUGAAACACCUGGCAAUAAUCAGUUGGAGAAGCGUAAGGGAUGUUACAGCGCUCGGAAGGACGUCAGGUUUUUAUGAACCCGUGUGCAGACCAGGCAUUUGUCAUGGAAGAUAAAAGCCUUUGCCUCCUGGGUGCCGUGGUGCAUUGGGCUGCGUUACCAUCACAUGAGCGAACGCCUCAUAAAUCAACGUUUUGUGUCGAAUGCUUUUGUUUUUUGUAUCUUGUAAGCAGCAACUAAAAAAUGGAUCUGUUUUUAUAACAUAAGUGUUUGCAAAUCAUUAUUAACCUUUCUCAUAUUUAGAUCUAUUUUGAAAAAUUAUGUUCUUUUGAACUAUCAAUUCACCAAAGAAUCCUAAAAAAACAUAUCUCAGGAUCACAGGAAUGAAUUACACUUUAAAAAGAUAUUUUAACAUGUAAUAUUUCACAACAUAACUGUAUUUGUAUUUUUGAUCAAAUAA